This is a non-coding RNA of Peromyscus maniculatus bairdii (prairie deer mouse), 257 nucleotides long. The record is from RefSeq and is a predicted model, not a curated record. NCBI's taxonomy places the organism in Eukaryota, Metazoa, Chordata, Mammalia, Rodentia, Cricetidae.
GUGUGCUCUUCGGAUAUCUUGUAGUUCCAUUUAGGGCUCUUACCCAGUUUCCUUUUAAUUGACAUGCGGGGUCUGUUUAACUUCCUGCUGCUAUUUUGUCAAAUAGCUGUGGUUUAAUAAAGAUGCACACAGCCUGUAACAGACUGUGUAAUUGGAGCGUUCUGCCCUGCAAGCUGAGGCUCUGAAAUAGAUCUUAGCCCUGAACCCGCUCUGAGCUACUCAGGAUUAUUAAACGGAGAUGAUUAAUCCUCCUUGCA